This 665-nucleotide ribosomal RNA is filed under the name Calocalanus sp. 2012JH170. Its description in RNAcentral is "eukaryotic LSU rRNA". It matches the Rfam family "Eukaryotic large subunit ribosomal RNA", at positions 1 to 604 of the family's 3401-position model. Lineage: Eukaryota; Metazoa; Arthropoda; Copepoda; Calanoida; Calocalanidae. The record is from RNAcentral.
ACGACCUGAGUUUAGGUAAGACUACGGGCCGAAUUUAAGCAUAUUAAUAAGCCCAGGAAAAGAAAACAACUGUGAUUCCCUUAGUAAUGGCGAAUGAAACGGGAACAGGCCAUCGCAGAACUGCAGGUCAUCUUGGCCUUGUGGAAUGUUGCGUUUGGGAGAGUCUCCUCAGUGCUUGGCGGACCAGUCAAAGUCCAACUUGACAGUGGCCACUGCCCAUAGAGGGUGAUAGGCCCGUAAGGCGGUCUGCUAGUGCUGCUGACUUUUCCCUCGAGUCGGGUUGCUUGGGAGUGCAGCCCAAAGUGUGAGGUAAACUCCUCAUAAGCCUAAAUAUGACCCUGAGACCGAUAGCAAACAAGUACGGUGACGGAAGAUUGAAAAGAACUUUGAAGAGAGAGUUCAAUAGUACAUGAAACUGUGUGGUGGUAAACGGAGGGAUUCUUGAAGUUUCCGUCAAGAACUCAGCCUUGGUGUUGGGCAGUCGGGUGCCGUCUGAUCAGCAAUGACAGCAGUGCCAGUCGUGCUUGGCUCACGGGUGCAUUUUCUUGGCGGUUUACGGCAGGAACUGUUUGCCUGUUGACCUAUGGCCCCGGGUGAAGUUAUAGGCCUAGCCUGUAGCCCUGGGUGUCCUGGCUCCACAGCAGACAGGUAAUUGAGAGGACUCG